This 253-nucleotide ribosomal RNA is filed under the name uncultured bacterium. RNAcentral describes it as "partial 16S ribosomal RNA". It matches the Rfam family "Bacterial small subunit ribosomal RNA", at positions 524 to 776 of the family's 1533-position model. The record is from RNAcentral.
UACGGAGGGUGCAAGCGUUGAUCGGAAUUACUGGGCGUAAAGCGCACGCAGGCGGUUUGUUAAGUCAGAUGUGAAAUCCCCGAGCUUAACUUGGGAACUGCAUUUGAAACUGGCAAGCUAGAGUCUUGUAGAGGGGGGUAGAAUUCCAGGUGUAGCGGUGAAAUGCGUAGAGAUCUGGAGGAAUACCGGUGGCGAAGGCGGCCCCCUGGACAAAGACUGACGCUCAGGUGCGAAAGCGUGGGGAGCAAACAGG